GCAGUGAUGGUUUAGUGGUAGAAUUCUUGCCUUCCAUGCACGAGACUGGGGUUCGAUUCCCAGUCCUGCG
This 70-nucleotide transfer RNA is filed under the name Loxodonta africana (African savanna elephant). It matches the Rfam family "tRNA". Rfam says of the family: Transfer RNA (tRNA) molecules are approximately 80 nucleotides in length. The record is from Rfam by way of RNAcentral. Lineage: Eukaryota; Metazoa; Chordata; Mammalia; Proboscidea; Elephantidae.